CCUACGGGGGGCAGCAGUGAGGAAUAUUGGUCAAUGGACGCAAGUCUGAACCAGUCAUGCCGCGUGCAGGAAGACGGCUCUAUGAGUUGUAAACUGCUUUUGUACGAGGGUAAACUCAGAUACGCGUAUCUGUCUGAAAGUAUCGUACGAAUAAGGAUCGGCUAACUCCGUGCCAGCAGCCGCGGUAAUACGGAGGAUUCAAGCGUUAUCCGGAUUUAUUGGGUUUAAAGGGUGCGUAGGCGGUCGGAUAAGUUAGAGGUGAAAUCCCGAGGCUCAACUUCGGAAUUGCCUCUGAUACUGUUAGGCUAGAGAGUAGUUGCGGUAGGCGGAAUGUAUGGUGUAGCGGUGAAAUGCUUAGAGAUCAUACAGAACACCGAUUGCGAAGGCAGCUUACCAAGCUACGUCUGACGUUGAGGCACGAAAGCGUGGGGAGCAAACAGGAUUAGAUACCCUGGUAGUC
This 460-nucleotide ribosomal RNA is filed under the name uncultured bacterium. RNAcentral describes it as "partial 16S ribosomal RNA". It matches the Rfam family "Bacterial small subunit ribosomal RNA", at positions 338 to 795 of the family's 1533-position model. The record is from RNAcentral.